AAAUUGAAGAGUUUGAUCAUGGCUCAGAUUGAACGCUGGCGGCAGGCCUAACACAUGCAAGUCGAACGGUAACAGGAAGCAGCUUGCUGCUUUGCUGACGAGUGGCGGACGGGUGAGUAAUGUCUGGGAAACUGCCUGAUGGAGGGGGAUAACUACUGGAAACGGUGGCUAAUACCGCAUAACGUCGCAAGACCAAAGAGGGGGACCUUCGGGCCUCUUGCCAUCAGAUGUGCCCAGAUGGGAUUAGCUUGUUGGUGAGGUAACGGCUCACCAAGGCGACGAUCCCUAGCUGGUCUGAGAGGAUGACCAGCCACACUGGAACUGAGACACGGUCCAGACUCCUACGGGAGGCAGCAGUGGGGAAUAUUGCACAAUGGGCGCAAGCCUGAUGCAGCCAUGCCGCGUGUAUGAAGAAGGCCUUCGGGUUGUAAAGUACUUUCAGCGGGGAGGAAGGUGUUGUGGUUAAUAACCGCAGCAAUUGACGUUACCCGCAGAAGAAGCACCGGCUAACUCCGUGCCAGCAGCCGCGGUAAUACGGAGGGUGCAAGCGUUAAUCGGAAUUACUGGGCGUAAAGCGCACGCAGGCGGUCUGUCAAGUCGGAUGUGAAAUCCCCGGGCUCAACCUGGGAACUGCAUUCGAAACUGGCAGGCUUGAGUCUUGUAGAGGGGGGUAGAAUUCCAGGUGUAGCGGUGAAAUGCGUAGAGAUCUGGAGGAAUACCGGUGGCGAAGGCGGCCCCCUGGACAAAGACUGACGCUCAGGUGCGAAAGCGUGGGGAGCAAACAGGAUUAGAUACCCUGGUAGUCCACGCCGUAAACGAUGUCUACUUGGAGGUUGUGCCCUUGAGGCGUGGCUUCCGGAGCUAACGCGUUAAGUAGACCGCCUGGGGAGUACGGCCGCAAGGUUAAAACUCAAAUGAAUUGACGGGGGCCCGCACAAGCGGUGGAGCAUGUGGUUUAAUUCGAUGCAACGCGAAGAACCUUACCUGGUCUUGACAUCCACAGAACUUUCCAGAGAUGGAUUGGUGCCUUCGGGAACUGUGAGACAGGUGCUGCAUGGCUGUCGUCAGCUCGUGUUGUGAAAUGUUGGGUUAAGUCCCGCAACGAGCGCAACCCUUAUCCUUUGUUGCCAGCGAUUAGGUCGGGAACUCAAAGGAGACUGCCAGUGAUAAACUGGAGGAAGGUGGGGAUGACGUCAAGUCAUCAUGGCCCUUACGACCAGGGCUACACACGUGCUACAAUGGCGCAUACAAAGAGAAGCGACCUCGCGAGAGCAAGCGGACCUCAUAAAGUGCGUCGUAGUCCGGAUUGGAGUCUGCAACUCGACUCCAUGAAGUCGGAAUCGCUAGUAAUCGUGGAUCAGAAUGCCACGGUGAAUACGUUCCCGGGCCUUGUACACACCGCCCGUCACACCAUGGGAGUGGGUUGCAAAAGAAGUAGGUAGCUUAACCUUCGGGAGGGCGCUUACCACUUUGUGAUUCAUGACUGGGGUGAAGUCGUAACAAGGUAACCGUAGGGGAACCUGC
Molecule: ribosomal RNA, 1524 nt
Filed under: Salmonella enterica
Lineage: Bacteria; Pseudomonadati; Pseudomonadota; Gammaproteobacteria; Enterobacterales; Enterobacteriaceae
Also listed under: 3 other names
Description: bacterial SSU rRNA
Rfam family: Bacterial small subunit ribosomal RNA
Source: RNAcentral